UUAGACCACACGCGCCAUAGCUGUACCUGUGGGGAAAACGUGGUAGCUGUUGGUAUCUGCUUGCUUAGACGCCAGAUUUGGAUAGCCGAAGCUAAUUUUAUGAAUACGAAGUGCUUUGCACUGGUCAGGUUUUUUGAGUUGGAGAAAGGAGCCGAGACUCCCCGGAGAACUUUGGAUUACAGACUUUGUGGAAAUCCGCAGAAGAGGAAUAAUUUUCCAUUGCAAUGGAUGGCGAGCCACAGCCCAUUUGGAAUUGAAUCUUGAAGUCUGGUUGCCUGAACUGUGCUGCCGCAUUUAGGAGUCACCACAGUGGAUCACCUGCCUCUAUCUCACCCUGUCCCAGCAUCCUCCUCUGUCCCACCAACUAAUUUCACUCAUGUUUAGUGGUAUAAAAUUUGUAUUUAAAGUACAGCUUAUAGGAUCAAUGUGAUGUUAGGUUAUGCAUGUGUAAGUGUGUAAAAUAACCAUUUUAAUGUCUGUAAGUAUACAUGUGGUGCGGACAUUUACAGAAAUAGAGGUAUUGCUUUUCUACUCAUUAAUAUUCUCUGCUAAUCUUAUUUCUCAACUUGGUUCAUUUCGCUUUAGCCUUACUUCCUCUUAUUUGGUUUCUUUUUGUGAUGCUAACUUGGCACAAUAUUUUCUAAAGUUUGGUGCCUGAGGAUCUUGUUGCAUAAUAAGCCUGGGUGUAUUCAACCAGAAGAAACAAUUUCCUCUGUCUGCCUCGUGGUUCCAUUUUUUCGUUCUUCACUCAAGUAAUGGGAAAGGGGAAGGAAGUUGGAGAGCACUAUGGGGGAAGGAAGUUGGAGAGGUGCUGUGAUGAGAGUAGAGGAGAAAAGCAGCUUACAAGAUGGAUGCUCUUUUGAGGAGAGAAGAUCUAUAUUUUUUAAAUGAAGCGGGCAUGCCUCAUUGAUAUUUUACAAGAAAAACACUGUCAGUGCAGGUCAAUAAAAAUCUCUGUUUUGCACUCUGGAUUCAAGCUGCAAUUGGUUUGGCUUCCCAGCUGGAGCUCUCGAAUCUCUACUCAGUUGUCAAGCUUUCUUUCUAGCAGAUUAUCGCUCUUACCCCGAGAAAUGAGACCACGCACUGAUCCAGUCUAUCUUCAUUUGCAGGCAUAAUCUGCAUUAAAAAACACUAGUACGUACACUAACACAUAACCACACAAUCACGAGCCGGCUCUGUAACACUACAUCUCUGCUGGGGAAGCUCAUUAAACACAUACACCAGCAGUGA
Long non-coding RNA from Oreochromis aureus, 1230 nucleotides. RefSeq lists it as uncharacterized. The record is from RefSeq and is a predicted model, not a curated record. NCBI's taxonomy places the organism in Eukaryota, Metazoa, Chordata, Actinopteri, Cichliformes, Cichlidae. The transcript has 3 exons.